Long non-coding RNA from Taeniopygia guttata (zebra finch), 1816 nucleotides. RefSeq lists it as uncharacterized. The record is from RefSeq and is a predicted model, not a curated record. NCBI's taxonomy places the organism in Eukaryota, Metazoa, Chordata, Aves, Passeriformes, Estrildidae.
UGCUUUUAGUUUAAUUCAUGGCAUCCUGUUUUUACGGAGCUACAGUACAAUGCUGUAAUAACUAAAUUUUGAAUUGCUAAAAUCUAGGUUUCAUAUGUGCAAGCUUAGCUAACAGCUUAUAAAGUUUUAAGUCCAACAAGAUAUCACUAAACUCCAAAGAUUAUGCAUUAUUGAAUCAUGCUCUCAUAAAUUCCUGCUGAGUUACUCUUAUUGGUAUGAGACACAAAACCAGUGACAGCAUCUUGGUUCUCUGCUCCUUGCUCUGAUACUGCCAGGGCACCUGGGUUGGUCAUGAUCUUGCUCUCAGAUGCCUAUUUGUAAAACAGAAUUAUUAACAGUGACAGAAUUAUUAACAGUUCUCAUCUUGAAGAUGAGGAAUGCAGAGCAGUAAAUAUAAAUAUUACAGGAGAUGUCUCAGUACUGGCCUCUUCACGUUCCUUCCUCCCCAGGUUAUAAAUACAGAGAGGAAUGCAAAGUAGAUACGACCACUGAAUCUACCUUAGUUAAUAGGCUGAAGUUUAUUUUUUUUUAACCUGAAAAGCAAACCAUCAUCCUAACUGGUAUUUGCAAUGCCUUUUUCUGCACUAACAGCUUCACUGACAAACCCUGUCACCAGAGACUCAAACUUUUUUUAUAGCUCCCUUCAGUCCUCACCUCCUGAUGCACAGAAUGUAUCUUGCCACCUGACUCACUCCCCUCCAGCUAUUUUUAGAAGCUUUUCCAUUUGAUGGACCACUGCAGAUCACAUUCAAAGAGCAUCAACUGCAUUUAAGUGAAGUUACAAAUGUGACAAACUGACAAAUCUGUGAAGAAAGACUAACCCAAACUACUCAUACUGCAGUGAACAAAUGAAUCCCAAGAUCAUUCUCUCUGUAGUGGGUGACUGCUGUAAAGUUCUAUGUUUAUCUCAUAACCCCAUAGAUACUUGAUUUUUUUUCCCUGUCAUUUUCUCUCUAUAAACAUCUACAAAAGAGUUUUAAAAGCAUACUUCUUCAUCUUACCCAGGGGAGCCAUUUCAAUCACUCAGUCAAACAUAUAUUCAUCAACUAAAUAACACUUAUUCAUUUAAACUGCUGUUUUAUUUACCCAGCUGAAUUACUAUUUUGGCAUAUACAUUUGAAAAGACUGUUUUUAGCAUUCGAGUGUAUUUGCCUUUGAAGCUAUCAGACAGGCAAUCCAUGACAACAGCGAUGCAAACUCCCCCUGCUACGUUGUCAGCAGGUCUCAUCUGUGAGCUGGAGGUCAGAUUCAAGGUGGCAGUGGAUGGGACAUGCCCAGUCAGCCUUUAAUUUAACUGAUGUCAAGCAGUGUCAGCCAUGGAGGCAGAGCUGUAUUUACACUGAAACCAGAUAUACUUGAUUAUUUAUAACUACAGUAUCCUACACUGUAGCUAAAAUUAAAAAUAAAAAUGAAAUCUAGCUACCAGCAAUGUCACACUACAGACAUCACAUUUAAACAGCAAUUAACUCCAGUGCUGUGGCUGUGUGCCUCUAUCAUGGGGAUGACUGCAAAUUGCAUCUUGAUGGUACUCUUGAAAAAUACCUACCAGAAUAACCAUACCAAUGGAUCAGAAAUGAGCUACCAAGAUAAUGUGGACAACCUCAAGUUAAAUACAAGGAAUAAAUAUCACCACGCCAGAGAUUUUCACAGAUGACUUGGAAUUCUGAAGAAAUUUGUGGUACAGCUGUGUAAAGGAAACCAUUCAAUAUAAAAAUAGACUCCACGGACUUUUUGCCAAAAAAGACCAUGUGAGAAUUACUAUGGUUCUUCAUGAUAGUUUAACUUCUUUCCUUAAGUAAAUUUGCUACUUAUAUGA